GACAAGUGUUGGACAGCCGGAGUCAGUCCCCGUGGAGAUUAUCUUUGAUAACAGAUUUCUUCUGGGGAAUAGCCGAGUUCGUGGUUUUGUUUUUCAGAACUCUGCUUCAGCAAGAUGUGAAAAAGAAGAGAGGCUACGGAAACUCAUCUGAUUCCAGAUAUGAUGAUGGAAGAGGGCCCCCAGGAAAUCCCCCCAGAAGAAUGGGUCGAAUUAAUCAUCUGCGUGGUCCCAGUCCUCCUCCAAUGGCUGGUGGAUGAGGAAGGUAAAUGUCUGCUGUAAGAAGCAGACAACUGGACAUGCACAUUCACAGCAGAAGGAAACCAUCAAGCAGGGGAGGGCUGACUAUGCUGCAAAGUAGAUGAAUGUGUACGUCUAAACCAGAAUUACUCUGUGUCUUCACAGACGAAUGAGGUCGUGUUGGGAAUUCCCUUGCAGGGAACUGGCAUGACUGACAUGCAAUUCUAUAAAUGCACAUGUUUGUCUCAUUAUCUUUUGUAUAGUUUAUGGAAGUAUUAAUACAGUUUUAAUAAGCAAAUAUUUUAGGUUAUAAAAUUGACUUCUCAUCUUUAUAUAAUUAAAACUCCAAAUUUGAAGAAAAUUAAAAGGCUAUGUAUUUAG
Molecule: RNA transcript, 618 nt
Organism: Molossus molossus (Pallas's mastiff bat)
Lineage: Eukaryota; Metazoa; Chordata; Mammalia; Chiroptera; Molossidae
Gene: SELENOK
Gene name: selenoprotein K
Exons: 4
Source: RefSeq, a predicted model, not a curated record